CCCUAGUAACUGCGAGUGAAGCGGGAAAAGCUCAAAUUUAAAAUCUGGCGGUCUUUGGCUGUCCGAGUUGUAAUCUAGAGAAGUGUUAUCCGCGCUGGACCGUGUACAAGUCUCCUGGAAUGGAGCGUCAUAGAGGGUGAGAAUCCCGUCUUUGACACGGACUGCCAGGGCUUUGUGAUGCGCUCUCAAAGAGUCGAGUUGUUUGGGAAUGCAGCUCAAAAUGGGUGGUAAAUUCCAUCUAAAGCUAAAUAUUGGCGAGAGACCGAUAGCGAACAAGUACCGUGAGGGAAAGAUGAAAAGAACUUUGGAAAGAGAGUUAAACAGUACGUGAAAUUGCUGAAAGGGAAACGCUUGAAGUCAGUCGCGUUGGCCGGGGAUCAACCUUGCUUUUGCUGGGCGUACUUUCCGGUUGACGGGUCAGCAUCAAUUUUGACCGUUGGAUAAAGUUCAGGGGAAUGUGGCAUCUUCGGAUGUGUUAUAGCCCUUGUUCGCAUACAACGGUUGGGAUUGAGGAACUCAGCACGCCGCAAGGCCGGGUAUUUUACCACGUUCGUGCUUAGGAUGCUGGCAUAAUGGCUUUAAUCGACCCGUCUUGAAACACGGACCAAGGAGUCUAACAUGCCUGCGAGUGUUUGGGUGGAAAACCCGAGCGCGUAAUGAAAGUGAAAGUUGAGAUCCCUGUCGUGGGGAGCAUCGACGCCCGGACCUGACCUUUUGUGACGGAUCCGCGGUAGAGCAUGUAUGUUGGGACCCGAAAGAUGGUGAACUAUGCCUGAAUAGGGUGAAGCCAGAGGAAACUCUGGUGGAGGCUCGUAGCGAUUCUGACGUGCAAAUCGAUCGUCAAAUUUGGGUAU
RNAcentral lists this ribosomal RNA (854 nucleotides) under Galerina pseudocamerina. Its description in RNAcentral is "LSU rRNA". It matches the Rfam family "Eukaryotic large subunit ribosomal RNA", at positions 78 to 918 of the family's 3401-position model. Lineage: Eukaryota; Fungi; Basidiomycota; Agaricomycetes; Agaricales; Galerinaceae. The record is from RNAcentral.